RNAcentral lists this ribosomal RNA (383 nucleotides) under uncultured eukaryote. RNAcentral describes it as "partial 18S ribosomal RNA". It matches the Rfam family "Eukaryotic small subunit ribosomal RNA", at positions 592 to 976 of the family's 1831-position model. The record is from RNAcentral.
CAAUAGCGUAUAUUAAAGUUGUUGCAGUUAAAAAGCUCGUAGUUGGAUUUCUGGUGGGAGCGAUCGGUCUGGCGUUUAGCGCGAGUACUUGCAUCGUCUCCGGCCAUCCUUGGGGAGAGUCUGUCUGGCAUUAAGUUGUCGGGCAGAGGAUCCUCAUCGUUUACUGUGAAAAAAUUAGAGUGUUCAAAGCAGGCUUAUGCCGUUGAAUAUAUUAGCAUGGAAUAAUAAGAUAGGACUUUGGUACUAUUUUGUUGGUUUGCGCACCAAAGUAAUGAUUAAUAGGGACAGUUGGGGGUAUUCGUAUUCCGUUGUCAGAGGUGAAAUUCUUGGAUUUACGGAAGACGAACUACUGCGAAAGCAUUUACCAAGGAUGUUUUCAUUAA